AAGUCAAGGGGGAAGGGUUGUGAGAGAAUUGGGAAAUUCUUCCCUUUCUUAGAAUCAAAGAACUCCUGGCCUUCAUUACUCUCUUAGUGCAACUUGAGAGCUUAAAAAAAAACCUUCCAAGUUUUUCUAUUAUUUUCACAUUACAAGGAAAUCCUAAAGCCCAUCUUUAACUCUCAUAAAUUGUCCUCAUCAUUUACAUUUUCCAAGCAACCUGAGAGUCCUUCAUCGUGAUUUUCAAAAGGUUAUCUCAUGAGUGAUUAAGUUUAAAGGUGAGAAACAAUGGGAAAACCCUUGGCUCUAGGAAACCCAAGGCUACCAACUCAUUUUUAAAGGGAUUAAGGCUUCCCAAAUUAAAGUUAAAGGCUGCAAAUCAAAUGUUUGGGUAAGGAAAUCUUCAUUUAAGCUUUAAAAUAAAUUAAAAAUUAUUUUAAGUUCAAAGAAUUAAUACCAUGUGAAUUUAUUGUGACUGAUUUGGUACUACGAGAUUGGAAAAGUAUUAAGGUUGUGCAUUAUUGAAGUUAGACCACCAACAAGGUAAGGUGGAAUGAAGUUGGAUGUUGGUACUUAUUUAUCAAAGUAUGAUUUACUAGAGAAGUAUGUGCCUAGGAAGGGUGAGCUUGUGAUAUUGACUUAGUAUGAAUUAUUACAAAGGGAUUUGAAAGAGAAGGACUCACAGGAAAUUUGUCAAACUUGUGGCCUAGUGCUAAGAAAUUUAUUGUUAAGAGUACAAAGGUGAGGAUAAGUUGGUUGCAAUUUGAAAUUUAAUGCAAAUGUGCUUGCUAGAAAAAUGUAUAGAUAAUGUUAUAAUUGAAAUUAUACUAAGAGAUUGUGUGAUAUUGAUCGCUAAGUGUGAUUGUGCUAAAACUUAAAUUGCUAGGAAAAAAAUGAAGAAGAUUCAGGUGAUGGUGAUUUUCACCUGCUGAAAAUUUCCUAGUCAACACAUUUCAUUAGCGUGAGUAGAAAUAUUGGUGAGAAUUCCCACCAAAGGAGGGGCGUGAGCAAUACCUUUUAAAAUAUACUAUGGAUAUUGCUACUAUAAGUGCAUAACUACAAAUAUGCUUACUGUUUUUUAUUGACAUUAGAAUGCUACGAAUUAUAUUUUAUCUAUUGAAGUGCCAUUGGGAAGCAUGAGUUGCUAGACAAUUAGGCCUAUUUUUUGUUACCUUACUCUGUUCAUCAAUUUGCAAGAAUAACUAUACUAUGAGUUGUUUUAUAACUACGAGAAACAAGUCCUUGAAAAUAUUAAAUUUCCAUUCUGUUUUGAAAGUCUUAAAAACCAUUUGAAUCUAUACAAUACUUGCAUUCAAUAGGCCAUAAGGGUGUCCAUUUAUAAAUAUUUUAAAUUUGCUUAUUUGGUAAUAUUAUGAUGUUUGGAUGAAAUAUAAAAUUAUGCCAUGCUCGUUGAUUUUGUUGUUGUACUUGGUAUGUACUGCUUAUUGAUUUCAAAACUUGAAAUAUGUAACACAUUGUUUAUAUGAGCAUGUGAUUGAAACUUGAUACAUGUACUUGGAUUUUCAAUAAAUUAUUUAUGGGUAAGCCUUAUGGGUAUAGGUCUUGUUACCACACCAGAUUGUGUGGUCUUUGUGCACAAAGUACUUGCUAAACAUCGAUUUGUUAUUGGAGAACUAAGGGGGAUGGAAGCCUUGACUUUAUACUUGGUGGUGUAGGGAGUCCCAUGAGCAGGCACUAGGAGGAUAGAAGCCCCAACUUUAUACUUGGUGGCAUGGGAGUCGCACGAGUAAGUAUUAAUAGGUGUUAGGGGCUCAAUUUUAUACUUCGUGGCGUGAGGGAGUCCUACAAGUAGGCAUUAUGAGGAUAGAAGCCCUAACUUUAUAUUUGGUGGUGUGGGGGUUCCCACUAGUAGGCAUUGAUUUACGGUAUAUGCUUGGAGACUCACACUAUUUCUUAAACCUACCCAAAGUACCUUAAUCAAUUUGUUUCUUUUAUUAUUUUAUUUCUUAUUGAGUAUAACAUUAUUACUAUAUGUGACUUGAUUAAAACCAUGGC
This 2007-nucleotide long non-coding RNA is filed under the name Theobroma cacao (cacao). RNAcentral describes it as "long non-coding RNA (TCAC_LNC005820)". Lineage: Eukaryota; Viridiplantae; Streptophyta; Magnoliopsida; Malvales; Malvaceae. The record is from RNAcentral.